CGGGCAGGUGGUCCGUUAAGUCGUCUGUGAAAAUCCGGGGCUCAACCCCGUGAAAUGCAGGCGAUACUGGCGGGCUAGAGAUCGGUAGAGGCUAGCGGAAUUCCUGGUGUAGCGGUGGAAUGCGUAGAUAUCAGGAAGAACACCCGUGGCGAAGGCGGCUAGCUGGGCCGAGUCUGACACUCAUCCGCGAAAGCGUGGGGAGCAAACA
Molecule: ribosomal RNA, 208 nt
Filed under: uncultured bacterium
Lineage: Bacteria
Description: partial 16S ribosomal RNA
Rfam family: Bacterial small subunit ribosomal RNA
Source: RNAcentral